ACCAUUGAAUAAUAUAGAUAGCCGGGCUGAGGAAAGGAUUACACGAACCCAUUGAACAAAAGUAUCAUGGAAACCAAAAGCUCUAAGCACCUGAUCUAGAAAGUCCCAAUUGAGAGUAUCAAAAGCUUUAGCAAACAUCAAACUUAAUAGCGACAUUACCCCCCAAAACACUUAUUGUCCAAUAAAUUAACACACUUUGAGGCCAACAAAAUACAAUCUAAAAUAUGCCUGCCCUUAAGAAAUGCGUAUUGAUUUGGCAAAAUAAUUCGAAUAGCUACGAGAGCAAGCCUAUCUGCAAGAAUCUUUGUAAUGACCAUCUACCAGUUCUUGUUUCUAGAGUUAUCUAUCUGUUUUCACACCUAAUUACUGGUGUUCUUUUUCUAAUGAUGAUGUGAAAUUCUUGUCGACAACCAUAUUUUCUUUUUUUUUUUGAACAAAAUCGACAACCAUAUUUUCAAACAUUAAUUUUAUUAUGACCUAGCACACAAGGACGUGCAUAUAUUACAUGUACAGAGCCUUUGUUCAAAAGGGAUCUCCAUUUUUUUGGUAUACUGUGACUAGUUGUGAAUUUGUUAUGCUAAUUAUACGUUGAACUUUAACGAUUCAAACCGUCUUUUUUUAAAUCUUCAUUUAUAAAUCAUGCUUGCAAAAAAUCAAUUCAAGCCAAAAUCAUUUACUCAUUUGGCUGUCAUGAUAAAAUUUCAAUGUUUCUUAAAACAUAGCGUUCGUUAAUUUUUUU
This 739-nucleotide long non-coding RNA is filed under the name Malus domestica (apple). Its description in RNAcentral is "long non-coding RNA (MDOM_LNC000840)". The record is from RNAcentral. Lineage: Eukaryota; Viridiplantae; Streptophyta; Magnoliopsida; Rosales; Rosaceae.